CCUACGGGGGGCAGCAGUAGGGAAUAUUGCUCAAUGGGGGCAACCCUGAAGCAGCAACGCCGCGUGUAGGAUGAAGGUUUUCGGAUUGUAAAGUCCUUUUGGUAGGGAAGAUAAUGGCGAUGUCUAACGAAUAAGCACCUGCUAACUCCGUUCCAGCAGCCGCGGUAAUACGGAGGGUGCGAGCGUUACUAGGAAUCACUGGGCGUAAAGAGAGCGUAGGCGGGAUGGCAAGUCAGAUGUGAAAUCCUAUGGCUUAACCAUAGAACUGCAUUUGAAACUGUUAGUCUAGAGUAUGGGAGAGGUAGGUAGAAUUCUUGGUGUAGGGGUGAAAUCCGUAGAGAUCAAGAGGAAUACCGAUUGCGAAGGCGACCUGCUAGAACAAAACUGACGCUGAUGCGCGAAAGCGUGGGGAGCAAACAGGAUUAGAUACCCUUGUAGUC
This 440-nucleotide ribosomal RNA is filed under the name uncultured bacterium. RNAcentral describes it as "partial 16S ribosomal RNA". It matches the Rfam family "Bacterial small subunit ribosomal RNA", at positions 338 to 795 of the family's 1533-position model. The record is from RNAcentral.